UGUGUGCGCACACUUGUGGAGGCCAUAGAUCAAUGUCAGAAUCAAUGCUUAGAAUCUAAACCAGGCUAGCAAGCCAGAGUCCAGGUGUGAAUGUCAGAGAACAACUUGUGGGAGAUGAUUCCCUCCUUCCAUGGUUCGGGUUCCAGGUUCAAACUCAGAUCAUUAACCUUGACGGAGGAUACGGUGCAACUAUCAUCAGUUAUCCUGAAUCCGGGUUCAUCCGACACCAGCCACCUCCACCAUGCCACCCAAGUUCGAUCCCAAUGAGAUCAAAGUCAUGUACUUGAGGUGCACCGAAGGUGAGCCCAGCAGGUCCUGCCUCCACUUUCUGCCUUACCUGUGAUCCUGGGCCUGUACCACGACUAAGCUCCUGCUGUGUUCCGUGCUGGAGCUGUGGCUUGUCACUUAAGAGCACUGGCUGCUCUUCCAGAGGACCUGGGUUUGUUUCCCACCACCCACAUGUUGACUCUCAAACACCAAAAAC
This 484-nucleotide long non-coding RNA is filed under the name Cricetulus griseus (Chinese hamster). RNAcentral describes it as "lncRNA (ENSCGRG00015036940.1)". Lineage: Eukaryota; Metazoa; Chordata; Mammalia; Rodentia; Cricetidae. The record is from RNAcentral.